This is an RNA transcript of Dromaius novaehollandiae (emu), 2189 nucleotides long. It is a transcript of the gene named G protein-coupled receptor 12, with no coding region annotated. The record is from RefSeq and is a predicted model, not a curated record. NCBI's taxonomy places the organism in Eukaryota, Metazoa, Chordata, Aves, Casuariiformes, Dromaiidae. The transcript has 4 exons.
GCUCCGCGCCGCGCCGGUGGGUGAGCGCGGCCGGCCCCGCUGCCGCCUCGAAGCCACCCUCCUCCUCCUCCUCCUCGCCGGGAAGCCUAGGUGACCCGCGGCCGCGUGUGUGCGGGGGCGUCCGCGUUUCCCUCCGCGCCUGCAUGGAGUUUCUUAUCUUCUAGGCACGUAAGUUGAUGGAAAUUGCUGCAUCUGUAACCCUAAAACUGACGGAUUUGUACUGUAGUCAGCGAAAACAUGACUUCUGAAAGAAGUUGGCCAGUGACUGACAGAUACCCAGAUCAAAGCAAAUUGUUGGAAAAUAGAGCCUGAAGAACAGAACCAUUGAAGCAGAUUGUUAUAUGGCUCCUGUCAGCUCAAAAGCAAACAACAACAAAAUCAAGAGAAAGCAAUUCCUUUCCAAGACACAGUGGAGCCUGAUACUGUGGUUACUCUGUGGAUGAUGGUGGAGACAGUGGUAGGCUGCAGAGGCAUCCACAACUAUUCAGUCGCUGCACUUUGGGAAGGGAAAGCUCAGCCCCAUCUUGAAGAUUCUUGUGACACACUGGAAAAAAAAUUCUUACUGGAGGCACUACAGAUAGAGUCAAGCCCUGAGCGCCCUGAUCUGAUCUCAUAGCUGACCCUGCUGUGAGCAGGAGUUGGACUAGAUACCUCCAACCUGAAUUCCCCUGUGACCUGAUGAAAGAGGAAAGGCUCUCUGCUAGGACUCACUUCCACCACACAAAGAGAUACUGGAAUUGAAGGGAACAGAGAGCAUUAACUCCUGCUGUUAGACAUAGCUCCUCUCUCAGCCAAGAGAUGGAGCUACCUCUCCCGCCAAAACUGUGCUUGCUCAGUAGAGAAAGGGGAAAUUAGACCAGUCAAAACGUCACUUUGCCCCUCAAAUCCUUUUCUGAAAGGCAUCCAUGAAACUCUCUCUUCCUCCUUGAAAAAAUAGUCUUGUCGAGUUGAACAAAGCCCCUCAGGAUAUUUCUCACCAGGCUGCCAAUGGGAAUCAGAAGAUCUCUCAGUGUGGCAAGACUCACGACAUAUCUCCCAAGCCAGGCUGGAGAGGAAUAACCAAGGUUUUCGCAUUUGGCCAUCUUAGGCUCAAGCAUAAGCCCAUCAAAAGUCUGACAAUGAAACCUUCUCUGCAAAUGCAGUCUGUACAACUGUAAUUAUUUUAAUGAAGAUUGUGAUUUUUAUUAUCUGAUAGCUGAGAGGCAGACCAACAUAUCCAUUGCCAGCCAUGCAGUUUUCCCCUGUAGAAAGAGGGACUUCUACCAUUUCCCACUCAAGCACCACAUUUACAAGACAGUCUGUGAGCACAGAUGCUCAGCUUCCCUAGGGGUCAGACACACAAAUGAAUGAAAAGCUUAAAAUGUUCAACAUUAAGCUUAGUUAACAUUAGUUAAUCCCACCCUCACCACCAACUCUGAGGUAAAACACUUUAGCUUAAGUGUCUUUCAUGGGGGUCUUCUCUUCACGGGUGGCCAAAGUCACAUCACCUCACAGCUGGGGCAGGCUCAGAGUAUUUGUAAGGACAUCUACUGGCAGGAGCUCAGCAGAGGUGCAAUAACUUCUUGAGCUGCCGUAUCUUGUCACUUCAGAGCUUUUAGCUUCAUUCCUAGUUUACAUUUCAGAGACAGCCUCUGGCUUGUAUCAGCUUCAUCACAGACUGGAGGGAGGACUGUGAGCCUCCAGAAGCCAGCACAGCUGCACAUGCACUGAGAUUUUGCCAUUUCUUUGCAUGCACACUUUUAUCACAAUACCUACUCAGUUACUGACAGAGGAUCAAACAGUUAAAAAUCAUCUCCUGAUGACAGUUCCCAAUGUCUCUUUCUUUAUCCUCUUAGAGCUAUCAAAUUAGUUGAGCAUAGCUCACAUCAUUAGAUCAUGUCUUAAUAGCUGUAUUUCUCUUAUUUCAGAAAGCUUUUCUGUGCUGGUCAGUGCUUCCACAAAAGACAGAGGUCCUCAGGGGGAAAGAAGAGAUGCUGGUUUGUUGAGACAAUCAGCAAUUUUGAAGACACUGAAAUCUCACCAAGCUCUGUAGGAAUAUGUACUGUCUAGUUGUGUAAUAAAAUUCAAUAAAGACAUUGAGAGUCUGGGGAGCUGUGAAGUGCAUCUAUCUCCAUAUCUUCAAUUUCUUUGUCUCUUUUCUGGAUUGUCACAUGGCUAAAUUUUAAUUAGAAUAAACUGUUAUGAUUGCC